UGAGGAACAUGACCUUCGGCGGGGGAUAGCCGGCCCAACGGCCGGGUAAUACCGCGUACGACCACUUUGGGACAUCCCUCGGUGGUGAAAGCAGCAAUGCGCCGAUGGAGUGCCUCGCGGCCUAUCAGCUAGUUGGUGAGGUAACGGCUCACCAAGGCGACGACGGGUAGCUGGUCUGAGAGGAUGAUCAGCCACAUUGGGACUGAGACACGGCCCAGACUCCUAGGGAGG
RNAcentral lists this ribosomal RNA (231 nucleotides) under uncultured bacterium. Its description in RNAcentral is "partial 16S ribosomal RNA". It matches the Rfam family "Bacterial small subunit ribosomal RNA", at positions 118 to 348 of the family's 1533-position model. The record is from RNAcentral.